GGGUUGUGAGGUUAAGCGACUAAGUGUACACGGUGGAUGCCCUGGCAGUCAGAGGCGAUGAAGGACGUGCUAAUCUGCGAUAAGCGUCGGUAAGGUGAUAUGAACCGUUAUAACCGGCGAUUUCCGAAUGGGGAAACCCAGUGUGUUUCGACACACUAUCAUUAACUGAAUCCAUAGGUUAAUGAGGCGAACCGGGGGAACUGAAACAUCUAAGUACCCCGAGGAAAAGAAAUCAACCGAGAUUCCCCCAGUAGCGGCGAGCGAACGGGGAGGAGCCCAGAGCCUGAAUCAGUGUGUGUGUUAGUGGAAGCGUCUGGAAAGGCGCGCGAUACAGGGUGACAGCCCCGUACACAAAAAUACACAUAUUGUGAGCUCGAUGAGUAGGGCGGGACACGUGGUAUCCUGUCUGAAUAUGGGGGGACCAUCCUCCAAGGCUAAAUACUCCUGACUGACCGAUAGUGAACCAGUACCGUGAGGGAAAGGCGAAAAGAACCCCGGCGAGGGGAGUGAAAAAGAACCUGAAACCGUGUACGUACAAGCAGUGGGAGCACGCUUAGGCGUGUGACUGCGUACCUUUUGUAUAAUGGGUCAGCGACUUAUAUUCUGUAGCAAGGUUAACCGAAUAGGGGAGCCGAAGGGAAACCGAGUCUUAACUGGGCGUUAAGUUGCAGGGUAUAGACCCGAAACCCGGUGAUCUAGCCAUGGGCAGGUUGAAGGUUGGGUAACACUAACUGGAGGACCGAACCGACUAAUGUUGAAAAAUUAGCGGAUGACUUGUGGCUGGGGGUGAAAGGCCAAUCAAACCGGGAGAUAGCUGGUUCUCCCCGAAAGCUAUUUAGGUAGCGCCUCGUGAAUUCAUCUCCGGGGUAGAGCACUGUUUCGGCAAGGGGGUCAUCCCGACUUACCAACCCGAUGCAAACUGCGAAUACCGGAGAAUGUUAUCACGGGAGACACACGGCGGGUGCUAACGUCCGUCGUGAAGAGGGAAACAACCCAGACCGCCAGCUAAGGUCCCAAAGUCAUGGUUAAGUGGGAAACGAUGUGGGAAGGCCCAGACAGCCAGGAUGUUGGCUUAGAAGCAGCCAUCAUUUAAAGAAAGCGUAAUAGCUCACUGGUCGAGUCGGCCUGCGCGGAAGAUGUAACGGGGCUAAACCAUGCACCGAAGCUGCGGCAGCGACGCUUAUGCGUUGUUGGGUAGGGGAGCGUUCUGUAAGCCUGCGAAGGUGUGCUGUGAGGCAUGCUGGAGGUAUCAGAAGUGCGAAUGCUGACAUAAGUAACGAUAAAGCGGGUGAAAAGCCCGCUCGCCGGAAGACCAAGGGUUCCUGUCCAACGUUAAUCGGGGCAGGGUGAGUCGACCCCUAAGACGAGGCCGAAAGGCGUAGUCGAUGGGAAACAGGUUAAUAUUCCUGUACUUGGUGUUACUGCGAAGGGGGACGGAGAAGGCUAUGUUGGCCGGGCGACGGUUGUCCCGGUUUAAGCGUGUAGGCUGGUUUUCCAGGCAAAUCCGGAAAAUCAAGGCUGAGGCGUGAUGACGAGGCACUACGGUGCUGAAGCAACAAAUGCCCUGCUUCCAGGAAAAGCCUCUAAGCAUCAGGUAACAUCAAAUCGUACCCCAAACCGACACAGGUGGUCAGGUAGAGAAUACCAAGGCGCUUGAGAGAACUCGGGUGAAGGAACUAGGCAAAAUGGUGCCGUAACUUCGGGAGAAGGCACGCUGAUAUGUAGGUGAAGUCCCUUGCGGAUGGAGCUGAAAUCAGUCGAAGAUACCAGCUGGCUGCAACUGUUUAUUAAAAACACAGCACUGUGCAAACACGAAAGUGGACGUAUACGGUGUGACGCCUGCCCGGUGCCGGAAGGUUAAUUGAUGGGGUCAGCGCAAGCGAAGCUCUUGAUCGAAGCCCCGGUAAACGGCGGCCGUAACUAUAACGGUCCUAAGGUAGCGAAAUUCCUUGUCGGGUAAGUUCCGACCUGCACGAAUGGCGUAAUGAUGGCCAGGCUGUCUCCACCCGAGACUCAGUGAAAUUGAACUCGCUGUGAAGAUGCAGUGUACCCGCGGCAAGACGGAAAGACCCCGUGAACCUUUACUAUAGCUUGACACUGAACAUUGAGCCUUGAUGUGUAGGAUAGGUGGGAGGCUUUGAAGUGUGGACGCCAGUCUGCAUGGAGCCGGCCUUGAAAUACCACCCUUUAAUGUUUGAUGUUCUAACGUGGACCCGUGAUCCGGGUUGCGGACAGUGUCUGGUGGGUAGUUUGACUGGGGCGGUCUCCUCCUAAAGAGUAACGGAGGAGCACGAAGGUUGGCUAAUCCUGGUCGGACAUCAGGAGGUUAGUGCAAUGGCAUAAGCCAGCUUGACUGCGAGCGUGACGGCGCGAGCAGGUGCGAAAGCAGGUCAUAGUGAUCCGGUGGUUCUGAAUGGAAGGGCCAUCGCUCAACGGAUAAAAGGUACUCCGGGGAUAACAGGCUGAUACCGCCCAAGAGUUCAUAUCGACGGCGGUGUUUGGCACCUCGAUGUCGGCUCAUCACAUCCUGGGGCUGAAGUAGGUCCCAAGGGUAUGGCUGUUCGCCAUUUAAAGUGGUACGCGAGCUGGGUUUAGAACGUCGUGAGACAGUUCGGUCCCUAUCUGCCGUGGGCGCUGGAGAACUGAGGGGGGCUGCUCCUAGUACGAGAGGACCGGAGUGGACGCAUCACUGGUGUUCGGGUUGUCAUGCCAAUGGCACUGCCCGGUAGCUAAAUGCGGAAGAGAUAAGUGCUGAAAGCAUCUAAGCACGAAACUUGCCCCGAGAUGAGUUCUCCCUGACCCUUUAAGGGUCCUGAAGGAACGUUGAAGACGACGACGUUGAUAGGCCGGGUGUGUAAGCGCAGCGAUGCGUUGAGCUAACCGGUACUAAUGAACCGUGAGGCUUAACCUUACAACGCCGAAG
RNAcentral lists this ribosomal RNA (2923 nucleotides) under Shigella sonnei. RNAcentral describes it as "23S ribosomal RNA". It matches the Rfam family "Bacterial large subunit ribosomal RNA". The record is from RNAcentral. Lineage: Bacteria; Pseudomonadati; Pseudomonadota; Gammaproteobacteria; Enterobacterales; Enterobacteriaceae.